AGAGUUUGAUCCUGGCUCAGAUUGAACGCUGGAGGCGUGCUUAACACAUGCAAGUCGUGCGAGAAAGGGACUUCGGUCCUGAGUAGAGCGGCGCACGGGUGAGUAACGCGUGGGUAAUCUCCCCUGGUGAUCGGGAUAACAGCGGGAAACUGCUGCUAAUACCGGAUAAUCUUCAUGUUUAACUUCAUGGGGUAAAGGUGGCCUCUGCUUGCAAGCUACCACAUCAGGAUGAGCCCGCGUCUCAUUAGCUAGUUGGUAGGGUAAUGGCCUACCAAGGCUACGAUGAGUAGCUGGUCUGAGAGGAUGACCAGCCACACUGGGACUGGAACACGGCCCAGACUCCUACGGGAGGCAGCAGUGGGGAAUAUUGCGCAAUGGGCGAAAGCCUGACGCAGCGACGCCUCGUGAGGGAUGAAGGUCUUCGGAUUGUAAAGCUCUGUUAAUCGGGACGAAAGAGCCUAGUGUGAAUAAUGCUAGGAAGUGACGGUACCGGAAUAGAAAGCCACGGCUAACUACGUGCCAGCAGCCGCGGUAA
RNAcentral lists this ribosomal RNA (535 nucleotides) under uncultured bacterium. RNAcentral's name for it is "bacterial SSU rRNA". It matches the Rfam family "Bacterial small subunit ribosomal RNA", at positions 8 to 523 of the family's 1533-position model. The record is from RNAcentral.